RNAcentral lists this ribosomal RNA (245 nucleotides) under uncultured Parasegetibacter sp. RNAcentral describes it as "partial 16S ribosomal RNA". It matches the Rfam family "Bacterial small subunit ribosomal RNA", at positions 524 to 768 of the family's 1533-position model. Lineage: Bacteria; Pseudomonadati; Bacteroidota; Chitinophagia; Chitinophagales; Chitinophagaceae. The record is from RNAcentral.
UACGGAGGGUGCAAGCGUUAUCCGGAUCCACUGGGUUUAAAGGGUGUGUAGGCGGGUAUUUAAGUCAGUGGUGAAAUCUCCAGGCUCAACCUGGAAACUGCCAUUGAUACUAUUUAUCUUGAAUAUCGUUGAGGUUGGCGGAAUAUAUCAUGUAGCGGUGAAAUGCAUAGAUAUGAUAUAGAACACCGAUUGCGAGGGCAGCUAACUAAGCGAUUAUUGACGCUGAGGCACGAAAGCGUGGGGAU